GAAAUGUCAAAUUUAGUCCCCUAAAUGAGUAAACAAUAAUAAAAUAAAUAACCAAGUCAAAAUUGGACUAAACAAUUGCUAAAUUAGUUUACACAUUAAUUCCCUCAUUUUCUCUUUGGCUUCUUUGAUUGUUUUCCCUUCUUAUUAACUCCCAAGUAUUUAUGAACCUCUUGAUCGUCACCAUCAUCUCCACCACCUCUGUGUUUCCUUUUCCCACCAGUUUCUUUGAUUUUCAUCAAUGAGAUCCUUUUGGCUUCUGUGACACGCUCCAAGAGUAGCAAAACCUCCUCUUCCUCUGCGGGAUACUCGGGUAGUUUCUUCCCAAUAAGCUUUUCUAUCUGUAUAUACCACUCCAACUCAUACUGAUUUACUAAUGAUAUGGCAACCCCGGAACGUCCUGCUCGUGCAGUUCUUCCCACUCUAUGUAUAUAAUCCUUUGAGUUUGUUGGAAUAUCAUAGUUGAUAACCAUAUCAACAGACGGUAUAUCAAGUCCUCGACUGGCCACAUCAGUGCAUAUAAGGAUAUUGCACUCUCCGGCCUUAAAUUUGUUUAGAGCUCCAAGCCUUUUAUCCUGAGUCAUCUGACCACUAAUUGGUAUGGCUCUCAAGCCUAGGUUGCGAAGCAUCAAAGCCAGAAGACGAGUUGCAUCACAUGUGCGAGUGAAAACCAUAGAUGUACUGCCAGACAUCUCAGUCAGAAUAUAGAUAAGAUAGCAGUCCUUAUAUUUAGCAGGAAGAAAACGAUACUGCUGCUUCAGUGUAUCAACGGUGGAAUAUUUAGAUGCAGCUUCAAUCUUAACAGGAUUUCUCAAACAAGCCCUCUGAAGUUUCCGCACCUUUUUGGUCAUUGUAGCAGAAAAGAGAUAAGUCCUUCGUUCAUGGGGAAUAGCAUUCAAAAUCUGAUCGAGGGCCUUCUCAAAAUCCUCAUUUAGCAACCUGUCCGCCUCAUCUAAUACCAAGUACUUUAUCGUACGGAGAGAAAACCCUUUGGUAUUGGAAAGAUGAUCCAAGAGGCGACCAGGUGUUGCAACAACAAUGUGAGGUCGUUUCCCGAGGGCAAUGCUCUGUUGUACUUGAUCUAUCCCUCCAACCAGCACUGC
RNAcentral lists this unclassified non-coding RNA (1100 nucleotides) under Hevea brasiliensis (rubber tree). The record is from RNAcentral. Lineage: Eukaryota; Viridiplantae; Streptophyta; Magnoliopsida; Malpighiales; Euphorbiaceae.